CUGUCUCAGGCUGCCCCUAAAAAGAUGAAGUAGUAGUCUGGCAAGAUGAACUCAAGACACAAAGAAGACAUUCGAGACUGAUCUGCGAGGUGUUCAGAUUCAUUGAUAACAUGCAAACCAGAGUCUGCUUACCGUUGUCUGUUCCAGAUACGAUGUCAAAGCAAACGAGGGAGACUUAGAAGCAGUGUGACUUAAAAAAGAAGUACUUUGAAAGAUGACUUACUGGGGAACUGAGUUAGAAGAUGAAAGAAGUGAAGAUUGGUCAUCUGUGCAGA
Long non-coding RNA from Gavia stellata (red-throated loon), 275 nucleotides. RefSeq lists it as uncharacterized. Lineage: Eukaryota; Metazoa; Chordata; Aves; Gaviiformes; Gaviidae. The transcript is spliced from 3 exons. The record is from RefSeq and is a predicted model, not a curated record.